GGCGAGUGAAGCGGCAAAAGCUCAAAUUUGAAAUCUAGCACUUUCAGUGUUCGAGUUGUAAUUUGAAGAAGGUAACUUUGGUUUUGGCUCUUGUCUAUGUUCCUUGGAACAGGACGUCACAGAGGGUGAGAAUCCCGUGCGAUGAGAUGCCCAAUUCCAUGUAAAGUGCUUUCGAAGAGUCGAGUUGUUUGGGAAUGCAGCUCUAAGUGGGUGGUAAAUUCCAUCUAAAGCUAAAUAUUGGCGAGAGACCGAUAGCGAACAAGUACAGUGAUGGAAAGAUGAAAAGAACUUUGAAAAGAGAGUGAAAAAGUACGUGAAAUUGUUGAAAGGGAAGGGCUUGAGAUCAGACUUGGUAUUUUGCGUUCCCUUCCUUUUUGGUUGGGUUCCUCGCAGUUUACUGGGCCAGCAUCGGUUUGGAUGGUAGGAUAAUGACAUUGGAAUGUAGCUUUACUUCGGUGAAGUGUUAUAGACUUUGUUGAUACUGCCUAUCUAGACCGAGGACUGCGUCUUUGACUAGGAUGCUGGCGUAAUGAUCUUAAGCCGCCCGUCUUGAAACACGGACCAAGGAGUCUAACGUCUAUGCAAGUGUUUGGGUGUAAAACCCGUACGCGUAAUGAAAGUGAACGUAGGUGAGAGCCUUUUAGGUGCAUCAUCGACCGAUCCUGAUGUCUUCGGAUGGAUUUGAGUAAGAGCAUAGCUGUUGGGACCCGAAAGAUGGUGAACUAUGCCUGAAUAGGGUGAAGCCAGAGGAAACUCUGGUGGAGGCUCGUAGCGGUUCUGACGUGCAAAUCGAUCGUCGAAUUUGGGUAUAGG
This 813-nucleotide ribosomal RNA is filed under the name Dujonia zeylanoides. RNAcentral's name for it is "[Candida] zeylanoides partial large subunit ribosomal RNA". It matches the Rfam family "Eukaryotic large subunit ribosomal RNA", at positions 88 to 921 of the family's 3401-position model. The record is from RNAcentral. Lineage: Eukaryota; Fungi; Ascomycota; Pichiomycetes; Serinales; Debaryomycetaceae.